This 641-nucleotide long non-coding RNA is filed under the name Equus asinus (donkey). RNAcentral describes it as "lncRNA (ENSEASG00005035510.1)". Lineage: Eukaryota; Metazoa; Chordata; Mammalia; Perissodactyla; Equidae. The record is from RNAcentral.
UUUAACUGUGCCAUACAAAACGAGUAAUAGCUAACAUUUAAUCUUGCAAAUUGGAGCCUAUUAUUUUCGCCAUUUUACAAAGGAGAAAACUAAACCACGAGAAGUGAAGUAAAUUGCCCAAGUCCACAGAGCUGCGAACCCCUGGGACAUGCAGAGUCAACGAGGGACUUUCUAAAACGUACUUUUCACUGCAAUGAGGUACAUUCAAAAAGAAAGAACGGUGUAUUCAUCUCCAGAGAGCAGCAACUUCACAGACCUGCGCUCCUGCCGCUUCGAGUCCUGGUGCCCCCAGCUCAGUUCCUGAUAACUGAAGACGAAACUUGAACAGCAAAAGGGAAGUCUCCCGUCUCCCCAGGGUAUCAAAUCCUGUUUCUAGACAGUUUCAGUUCUUAAAGACACAGGAUUCCAUAUUUUCUCACCCAAUAAGCUGGAAGACAAAGAACCUCCAGUGACCACCAACCACGUUUGCAUGGCCCUGGAGUGAAAUGGAAGUGCACCACAGAGCCUUUCUGAAAUCCGGGUUUGAAAGGGGGUCAGGAUAUUUCUGAAAUGUGUCAUCAUCUUUCUCUUUAUUAACACCAAGAAUUAGUCAGGGCCAGGGGCUCAGGUAUUUGUGUAGCCAACUCCUCUCUGCCCACCUG